This 274-nucleotide ribosomal RNA is filed under the name uncultured bacterium. RNAcentral describes it as "partial 16S ribosomal RNA". It matches the Rfam family "Bacterial small subunit ribosomal RNA", at positions 523 to 796 of the family's 1533-position model. The record is from RNAcentral.
AUACGGAGGGUGCAAGCGUUAAUCGGAAUUACUGGGCGUAAAGAGUACGUAGGUGGUUCGUUAAGUCAGAUGUGAAAGCCCAGGGCUCAACCUUGGAACUGCAUUUGAAACUGGCGAACUAGAGUAUGGUAGAGGGGGGUAGAAUUCAUAGUGUAGCGGUGAAAUGCGUAGAUAUUAUGAGGAAUACCAGUGGCGAAGGCGGCCCCCUGGACCAAUACUGACACUGAGGUACGAAGGCGUGGGGAGCGAACAGGAUUAGAAACCCUAGUAGUCC